AUGGCAGUAUCUCUCACCACUUGUUUUGGUCCAAAUGGCAGAAAUGAGCAUCCUGGAAACCAAUCAGUACUUGCUCUCUGAACUGGAAAAGUGCAAAGAGAACUUCCAAGACCUCACAGAGAAAUUCCUAACAUCCAAAGCUACUGCCUACUCCCUGGCCAAUCACCUGCAGAAAUACAAGUGUGAAGAGUGCAAAGACCUUAUAGAAUCUGUGCUGGAGGAGGAGCUGCAGUUUCAGGAGAGAGAGCUGGCUGAAUUGCUGAGGCCAGCUGCAAGGCUCCAGAUACAUGAUCCCUUAAUUCAGGCUCAGGGUGAAGAACUGACCCACUUACGACAGAAGAUACAGGAAGGGAGAGGUGUCUGCUACCUUUUCACCCAGCAUGUGAAGAACACAGUCAAGUCUUUUGAGGGCCUUCUCAGGAACACUGGCAUUGCCUACUACCAGAGACAGAGAUUCUGUGAGCAAAUGGUACAAGGAAGCCAGCUAACAGAGAUCCUUGUCAGAAAACUUGCCACAGAAUCAACCCCAAUGCUCACUAACAAACUGAGAAGAAAGAAAAAAGAAUUACCCCCAAGAACAUCUGAGGAAGCACAACAGGGACAGACUUGAAGGCACCUGGGCAGUCCUCUGGUUUUGGAGUAGAGGUAGGACAGGGCUAUUUGUCCUCUCAGAGACUGGAGCAGGUUCUGUGUGUGAGUAGCAAUGGGACAAACAGUCAUGGUCUGGCAACCAGACUGUGGCAGGAAGGAAGGUUACAACUGGAGAAGUCCAAAGGGCAGCCAGGCAAGUAUUCUUUGAGCUGGGGAACAAAAGACAUUUUAAACUUUUUGCUCUGCUUCAGGCAGCUGACGUCAUGGUGAUGAUUCACCACAUCAGGAACACCCUGUCCAGUGGGCUCAGGCAAGCCUGCCAGGCCACUUCUCUAAAGACACAACCUGAGGCCUCCUGCAAUAAUUCUCACAGAGCAUUCUGAACACACAUGUAAAGUGUUAUGUCCCUGAUCAUAUAGGGCCCAUGUGUGCAAUGUGUGAAAUGGGACCUGCCUAAUUUCUGACUAGCUCUUUCUAAUUUUGGUUUGCAGAAAAUCACAAUGGUAAGAAAAAUGAAGACAGGCAAAAGCCAGGCUCAGGAGGGAAGUCCAGGAGGAAGAAAUGGAUGAAGUCCUGGAGGACUCAUUAGAUGAACAGUAUUUGACCCAUUCCAGCCGCCAUGACUCCCACCAGCUUCCCAGCAGCAAUGCCUUCCUCUCUGAUGCACAGGAAGACCCCUCGGCUGUGGAUAUAGGCAAAGAUGAGAUCCAGAGCCAGUGGCAGCACCUGAAGGAGACCCUUUUCAUCAACAACUGCCUGAUGCACCUCUAACCUCUACAGGCAAAUCAUAGAUUCCAUUGCCCAGCUGUAUAAUGAAAACAGAGUUCUCAGAGAAGAAUACUGGAGACUCCUCCGACUUGCCUGAAUCAAAUUUCCAGAGGUAACAACUAAUGUUGGAACUACGGAAAGUUCUUCUCUACUUUUAACAAAGCUUAGUCACAAACAGUUCCCCAGUUGAUGAGAAAAACUAAAACAACAGAACAAUUGAAAGUCCAAAUCUGAAAGCUCCAUCUCUGAGAAGCAAAUUUUAUAGCCACUCCAGAUUUGUAUUCCAAAUGGAUAGUUUGAUUGUAGAAAUCACAUCCCUUCAGUCUGAAAAUGUGAUAACUGCCCAAGAGACAGUGAUGCCUAGAUCCGUAAAUAAUCCCCUUUCCCCCAACCUAUAUAUAACUGGAGUCAACAGCAGCUAGAGGAAAAUGGCAAGGACUUGGAAUCAAGAUUAAGUUAGAAUAACACUGCUGUAGACUGUUUAUCAGCUCUUCAGCAUAUGUCCAUUUUCCUUGAAGGAUGAGCCUUUAGAAACCUCUGACAAUAAAGUUUAUUUUACACACA
Gorilla gorilla gorilla (western lowland gorilla) is the source of this 1923-nucleotide RNA transcript. It is a transcript of the gene named neuroblastoma breakpoint family member 6-like protein, with no coding region annotated. The transcript has 8 exons. The record is from RefSeq and is a predicted model, not a curated record. NCBI's taxonomy places the organism in Eukaryota, Metazoa, Chordata, Mammalia, Primates, Hominidae.